GUUCGGAUUGAAGGCUGAAAUUCGCCUUCAUGAAGUCGGAAUUGCUAGUAAUGGCAGGUCAGCAUACUGCCGUGAAUACGUUCCCGGGCCUUGUACACACCGCCCGUCACACCAUGGGAGUCGGUAACACCCGAAGUCGGUAGCCUAACCGUAAGGAGGGCGCCGCCGAAGGUGGGAUUGAUGACUGGGGUGAAGUCGUAACAAGGUAAC
This 210-nucleotide ribosomal RNA is filed under the name uncultured bacterium. RNAcentral describes it as "partial 16S ribosomal RNA". It matches the Rfam family "Bacterial small subunit ribosomal RNA", at positions 1291 to 1500 of the family's 1533-position model. The record is from RNAcentral.